GUACUGGACAGUUCCUGAGCAUCCCGGUUGCCCAGAUCACCCUUUCAUCUCCGAUGGAUGUGCAUCGAGAUCCGGCCUCCAAUUUUCCAGGCAAGCUCUGAACACUUGAGGGCCGCGCUGAACCAAGUGUCACAGACUCGUGAAGUCAUCAUAGUUUUGGGUAAGACGAUAUCGGAUAUUGAGAUGCGCUUGUCGGUUGCUAGAGCUUCGCCAGGGUGACCAGGGAAGCAUGGGGCAUAGGAUGUCUUUUGUUAUGGGUGUUUUCACCACUUUUGCUAAACGCAAGCGGAGAGACUCGAUAAGGCAGACAUGGAAGCCACAAGAACAACUGCCGUCAUCUAGAAGGAAGAGUACUGGAGAUGUUUGCCAGAAGGGGUUGGAACUUCAGAAACCGUUUGAUCUACUAGUAGAUGCAAGGAAUGAAGUGCACCGUCUGAUGCUUGAUGGUUCUGGAAGCUGUUUUGUUCUUAGGCCGAAGCUGGUUAAAGAGUGUCUUGGUCUGGUUUCGAGUUGAACGUUGUUCUGGUGUUUGGUGUUAGCAUUUGCUCUUACAGCCUGCGUGCUGUAUUUUGUUGGCUGUAGAUCAUCUCGUGUGAUGCAUCGAGGCCGGACUUUCCUGAAUCUAAAAAAAAAAUCUACCUUGAGAAAAAAAGAGCGACAUCAGUGCAGUGCACA
Molecule: long non-coding RNA, 675 nt
Organism: Panicum virgatum (switchgrass)
Lineage: Eukaryota; Viridiplantae; Streptophyta; Magnoliopsida; Poales; Poaceae
Exons: 3
Source: RefSeq, a predicted model, not a curated record